AUUGAACGCUGGCGGCAGGCCUAACACAUGCAAGUCGAGCGGAUGAAGGGAGCUUGCUCCUGGAUUCAGCGGCGGACGGGUGAGUAAUGCCUAGGAAUCUGCCUGGUAGUGGGGGAUAACGUCCGGAAACGGGCGCUAAUACCGCAUACUUCCUGAGGGAGAAAGUGGGGGAUCUUCGGAUCUCACGCUAUCAGAUGAGCCUAGGUCGGAUUAGCUAGUUGGUGGGGUAAAGGCCUACCAAGGCGACGAUCCGUAACUGGUCUGAGAGGAUGAUCAGUCACACUGGAACUGAGACACGGUCCAGACUCCUAAGGGAGGCAGCAGUGGGGAAUAUUGGACAAUGGGCGAAAGCCUGAUACAGCCAUGCCGCGUGUGUGAAGAAGGUCUUCGGAUUGUAAAGAACUUUAAGUUGGGAGGAAGGGCAGUAAGUUAAUACCUUGCUGUUUUGACGUUACCAACAGAAUAAGCACCGGCUAACUUCGUG
RNAcentral lists this ribosomal RNA (484 nucleotides) under uncultured bacterium. RNAcentral's name for it is "partial 16S ribosomal RNA". It matches the Rfam family "Bacterial small subunit ribosomal RNA", at positions 30 to 507 of the family's 1533-position model. The record is from RNAcentral.